Molecule: long non-coding RNA, 708 nt
Organism: Peromyscus eremicus (cactus mouse)
Lineage: Eukaryota; Metazoa; Chordata; Mammalia; Rodentia; Cricetidae
Exons: 2
Source: RefSeq, a predicted model, not a curated record
GAUGCACAGGCAUGAGGUCCUAGGUCCCCAGCACCAAAAAAAAUUUCCAAACCUCACAUCAUUCCAUGGUUCUUGGUCUCUGCUCCUCCUCAGGUCUCAAGCUACAAGGGAAAGGCAGGGAAGGGCUUCUCUUGAGAGUGCCUGUGAAAGUAUUUGAGGCAAAAUUGGAGACCUGGUUGCCUGGCGACCAGAUGAUCUUGAACUUUAGUUGCCUUGGCAACAGCAGGGCCCUUUCUACUGUACCUUUAAGGUUAGCCCCAGUUAUCAGGAGCUGGCAGUGGAAGGUCUGGUUCCAAAUGGACAUUCUUCGAUGCUGCCACCCUCCAGCAAUAACUUCAUGAAUAUUUAACAGAUGCUUGCUAAUGUGAUGGAAUUGGAAAGUCAGAGUUCCUACAUUCAAGGAUCGGAGGCUAAAGAAGGUAUCGCAUGACACCUACUCGGCUUCAGACUGAAAGUGCAUCUCGAAAUUAUUGAGACCGUGCCUCACAAAUCCACCUUGGGUAGAACAUCCAGAACUCCUAAGGGAAGUCGGUCCCUGAGCACUCACCACUGCUCCCAGUACUCGGUGUCUCCAGGAUGAUCAGCAAAACAUUAGGUUGGGCUCCUCUGGGGAAGAGCUAAAAGUGCUUUAUUAGCCUGCUCCAGCCUAGUCACCUCAAAAUUCCUGGCAACCAGUUACAGUCCUUUGCAUAUCAUGGCAUGAACUCA